CAACCCUCGAACCCCUCCGGGGGGUCGGCGUUGGGGAUCGGGAACCCCUAAGACGGGAUCCCGGCCCCGAAAUACAGUGGCGGUCUCGCCGCAGCCUCUCCUGCGCAGUAGUUUGCACAACUCGCACCGGGAGCGCGGCGCGUCCACGUCCGUAAAACACCCAAUUUUAAUAG
RNAcentral lists this unclassified non-coding RNA (173 nucleotides) under uncultured Hypocreales. Its description in RNAcentral is "sequence contains ITS2". Lineage: Eukaryota; Fungi; Ascomycota; Sordariomycetes; Hypocreales. The record is from RNAcentral.